GCUGGGUGCAGUGGUGUGUACCUGUGGUCCCAGCUACUUGGGAGGCUGAGGUGGGAGGAUCACUUGAGCCCAGGAGUUCUGGGCUAUAGUGCGCUAUACUGAUCUGGUGUCUGCACUAAGUCUGGCAUCAGUAUGGUAACCUCCUGGAAGGAGGGGACCACCAGGUUGCCUAAGGAGGGGUGAACCGACCCAGGUCAGAAACGGAGCAGGUCAAAACUCCCAUGCUGAUUAGUAGUGGGAUCGUGCCUGUGAAUAACCACUGCACUCCAGUCUGGGCAACACAGCAAGACCCCAUCUCU
RNAcentral lists this signal recognition particle RNA (299 nucleotides) under Cebus imitator (Panamanian white-faced capuchin). RNAcentral's name for it is "Metazoan signal recognition particle RNA (ENSCCAG00000009544.1)". It matches the Rfam family "Metazoan signal recognition particle RNA". Rfam says of the family: The signal recognition particle (SRP) is a universally conserved ribonucleoprotein. The record is from RNAcentral. Lineage: Eukaryota; Metazoa; Chordata; Mammalia; Primates; Cebidae.